RNAcentral lists this ribosomal RNA (222 nucleotides) under Salmonella enterica subsp. enterica serovar Amager. RNAcentral describes it as "partial 23S ribosomal RNA". It matches the Rfam family "Bacterial large subunit ribosomal RNA", at positions 1125 to 1345 of the family's 2925-position model. Lineage: Bacteria; Pseudomonadati; Pseudomonadota; Gammaproteobacteria; Enterobacterales; Enterobacteriaceae. The record is from RNAcentral.
AAAGAAAGCGUAAUAGCUCACUGGUCGAGUCGGCCUGCGCGGAAGAUGUAACGGGGCUAAACCAUGCACCGAAGCUGCGGCAGCGACGCUUAUGCGUUGUUGGGUAGGGGAGCGUUCUGUAAGCCUGUGAAGGUGUGUCGUGAGGCAUGCUGGAGGUAUCAGAAGUGCGAAUGCUGACAUAAGUAACGAUAAAGCGGGUGAAAAGCCCGCUCGCCGGAAGAC